This is a long non-coding RNA of Grus americana (Whooping crane), 4350 nucleotides long. RefSeq lists it as uncharacterized. Lineage: Eukaryota; Metazoa; Chordata; Aves; Gruiformes; Gruidae. The transcript has 3 exons. The record is from RefSeq and is a predicted model, not a curated record.
UCAGCCUCGACUCAAGUGUCCGGAACUCGGACGUGGCCCUUCCCUGAAAGGAAAGCAACUUUUUUUGCUUGAGCGAACCAAAUCAUGAGCUUUUAUUUCCCCCUUCAAUGACUCGGAGGAUAGUUCUAAAAAUACAUUCUUUCCCAAAUUCAGAUGGUAGAAAGCCAUCAGGAGAGCACCUACAGAGCGUAUCCCUGCAGCGUGACUUGGGUCCGUUCUAAGUGACACAUACCACUUCCACAGUCUGCCAAAACCUGCUCCACAGCUCCACGGUGUGCGACGCCACCUCUGAACGCUGCGACGAGGCCAGUUUUCCAGGACGAAAUCACCAGCUCAUGGGUUUUGAAAGUGAGAGACCACCGUUCCUGCUAUCCCCGCAGCUUUGCACUGAAGGCUGAAAACCCAACGACGGUCCUCAGAUGCCCGAACAGCACGGAUAACCCACACCUCCGUGUUGCGCUGCUUUAGAUGAAUGGCCCCAACAGGGUGGGAAGGCUGAUGAAUGAACAAGCAGCUUGUAGCCUGGCUGAAGUGGUGCCUAACCAGUCGGCUCACCGCGGUUCCUGGCAGCACAGGGGAACGCGUCAGGAACGGGCUCUCGGGACGCUGCGGGAUGCUGUGGGACAGGCAACGUGCCCGCCAGUCGCCAGCACUCCCCAUCUGAAUCAUCCAGGCUGGGGUGCAAAGCGUGGAGACCUGGGUGUUUCUCAGAAGCUCAGGCAAGCAGCUCUGCACCACUGGUGAAAAAAUCCCUUCUGGGACCACACAUCCUGAACACUACAAAAACUAUUUUUCCACUGGAGCUAUCAUUCAAACAUGAGUCAUGACACAGGUUUUCUGACCUUAUCUUGGCUUCUUCAGAGAGAAGAGCUUCCUUCCACGUCUUGCAUCAAGCCUGAAGGUAGCCCGCAGGCUCCUCUUGCUUACCCUGCUCUUAACAGCUCUUAAGAGCCGUUAGGACAACGAGGAAUCGGGGGGCUCAGACAGCUGAACUUCUAGGUGCUUCUUUUACUUCAUCAGUUGCUACCACACGGAGGGAAAAAGCUACCGUAACAGCUACCAUGGCAGAACCACCCCUCCGAACACUUUGGUGUCAGAGCAGUGCUGAAGGACAAAACACCAGUUUCAGGGCAGCUUUCAGGAUAACCACUGGAGCCAGGGAGGAUCUGUAGGUACCGAAUCAGUAAGAAUUGUUUUUUCUUACACCAGACAAGUAGGUUGCUUGUUCCAACACUUCAGUCCCUCCUGAUAAAGAAAAGAAGGGGUUUGCUAUACUGAAUUUAAGGAGCAAAGUUCAGCAAGGCUUUUCUACACAUGCAGAGGCAGGGUCUUCAUCUGUGCAGGUACAGAUAGCGCAGAAGAUGUCCUCAGGUACCGCCCUCAGAUGGACAAUGGGGGUAAAGCACUUGCUCAGGCUCUUAGGAGUGGGCUCUGGAGGAACGGGCGAUGUCACAGGAAUUAUGGCACAAGCACCUGUGAAAGUCUACUGGACGUGCCGCAAAGUGAGGGCUCUGUAGGCAUGACCAACGUAAGGAAACUUGCUGCAAACAGUUGAGUCUAAAGGCCACUGCCAGCAUUUAAACGAAGCUCCAAUUACAAUGCAGAGAGUUGGCUAUAGAUGCCUCAAUUUAUAAAUAAUGAAUUUUGGAGCUUACUCAGGCUAAAAAAGUAUCUAUUAAAAAUGGAAAUCCAGUGCAAAUCAGUGAAUCAAACAGCUAGGAAUAUAGAGAAAAGAUAAAGAACAAUAAUAAAUUAUUUAUGCUUAUAGCUAAAAAAGCCAUAAGAAAGUUGGAGAGACUAUUCAUCUGUAAAUGGGGCAAUGAAAGAAGAUAAUGGGCCUAAAUUCUGCUUCUGUAAAACUCUCACUGAUUAGGAAGGACUUGCUUAAAAAUCAGCAGAAUAAGUUCUGAUUUGGCCUGGAGAACAACGUGAACUUCACUGAAUGGACGCAGCAGAAAAGCCUUUUAUAGUCACUAUUUAUAACAUGCUGCCUGUGGCAAAGAUUCCUAGUGCUACUCGAAGAGGUUGCACAAAUUGUAGCGGUGAAGGACUGAGGAGGAUAUGCUAGAAGGAAAGCUGCUUGCAAUUUUGGGUAGCCUGAUUUGCCUGGUUUACAAAUCAGAAGAGGAUUUGUCCUCCGUUUCCAAAGCUGAGCCUGAGAUCAGCGCAGUAAGUGCUGCUCCUGGCUUACGUAUCGGUGUCUGCAAGAAAGGAUUUGACCAUCAACUUGCCUUUGUCAUUUGGGGUUUGUUCCCCCCCCCCAUCCUUGGGCUUCCUCAGCUGCAUUGCUUACAUUUUGCUGACAGCUUUAACUUUCCUUUGUCAUUUAGCUGUGCAUGAGGAUUCAGAAGACGCACGCGGAUUGUAGUCCUCGCUUGAUUUAUGGCAUCCAGGUGCUCCAGAGAGCAGCGCGGGUGUACGGAGAUCACUAUAUUUCAGCAGACUCCAGCGGCCACCUCUGGAGUGACGCAUGGCUGGCGUUAGCACCGCACCAGCAGUUGGAGGGAUGAGAUUUUAAAUUGUCUGGUUUUGGGGUAGGAUCUGUCUUAAGUCGCCCUGGGAUGUAUUUUGAAGAUAUGUCAGGGUCAACUAAAGCACGUAGGUGGUUUCGUACCUAUGUCUAUCAAUCAGUGAGCACCUUUCUAGAGGAAGUGGCAGAGGAAUUUAUGCAGGGAUCCUAAUGCCAUUCAUUACCGUGGCCAAGGCACAACCUGACCCAGAUUCCCACGUUCACAGAAGUGGAGAGCACUCUGAUCUGACACCUCCAAUUUUGAGAUACUCUGCUUUAGCUCAAGCUGCCAAUUCUGUCUGCAAGCUGCUGGGUUUGGGCCCGUCCCCGAGCAAGAUUGCAGGCGUAACACCUGACAGGGGAUGGGCUGGUCGUGUAUGAAGGUCGUUUGAGAGGCAGGAGCUGAUCCCCGCACGCAAGCCUUCAUCUAGUGGAUUGGACCCGACUGCGGGCAUUGCCCCCAUCCUGCUCAAAACCCCCUUACCUCUUCAUGUUAACUGCAUCAAAUAGCAUAAAUGGAAAACCUUGGAAAGCGUUUAAUGCCUCUAAAAGGAAGGAGCAGCAGAUAGCAUGUAUUCCAACAGCUCUUGAAGACAAUCGCUAGGCUAAAACUUUUGCUCUGACCUUGCAGUAGAGGAAGAGGUAUUGGUGCUGCCAGAUCAAUAGUCUCCUUUUUGCUUAUGCUUCAUUUUUACCCAUGACCAGAGCUGGUCUGACCUCAGUUCUCGGGUCUUUUGACCCACCAAAUUGAAUUGCUUUUAAUUUUUUUCUAGACAGCCCUCAAAAGCAUUGGAUUGGUACUUUACUGAUGCAAAUGUAGAAGCAAGCGAAUAAUUCAGUUUGAUCUGGUCACAGACUGAGUUAUGGCUGGAGGCUACCUAUGAAUCACUUUUAGCAUAAAAAAAAUAUUCGCAAGAAAUCCAGCAGCUUCUAACUAGUAAUAACUUGAAAUUCCACGUGAAAACUUGACAUUUCCUUCAUACACUCAAUUCGCAGUUUAAAAAGAAUCUUCCUUGUGCAUGUUCAUUUCUGCAUACUGAGCCCCAAAUAUUUUAGCAAACAACCACUGGCAACAAAGUCCAUAGAAACAACCGAUAUCUGGAACAAUUUCUGGAAAAAUUAAUUUUGCGGUCAUACAUUCAGUACUAAAAGAAAGUUUACUGCAUCGGGAUGCAAAUUAUCAUGGCUCUAUUACAGGUCCACCUCCAAGCUGGAAACUCAGCGCUCUUAGGCUGGGCCCACAAAAGCCUGGUCGCAGGGCCAGCCUUCAGGUGGAGUUUGGAUGUGUUAAGGGGACGAUGCCAUUGCUGCAAUGGAAGAGAGCGGGACGUCCUCCUCAGCCCUAUAGGUACCACGUACAGACCCACUAGCGGGAACCGAACACCCUUUGGACGCUCCUCCCUUUAACGCCCACAUAAAACAAGUUCAUUUUCAAUUCAGUGCCCAAAGGCAACAGCCAGGCUGAAAUCGCAGGUUCCCUCCUGCUCCACGAUGCUUCCUGCUGUUGCUUACGUUGCAAUCUCCUCCAGGCUUGCAGCUUGGAUGUACAUCGUGGGCUCUGCCCGCUGCUGCUGAUCCUAACGGCGAUAUCUAAUUCCAACAACGAGAGCUUUUUUUUCUUUAAUUUGUGCGAAUUUCCUUUGAUGCCUAAAUAACAGAAAAGCAGCAAAACAAAAUGAGGCUCUCAUCUGAAUUACUCAGGAGAAUACAGUAAGCUAUUCCAGGCUGUCAGAUACAGUUGUAAUUAGGUGCUUUUAGAAGUACAUUAUCUAUUUUUAUCUGUUAUUUAUUGUGCGUACUACAUUUGUUGUGCCGCGCACGUCGUGCCCCUGAUAGACUCC